Molecule: long non-coding RNA, 3600 nt
Organism: Acanthochromis polyacanthus (spiny chromis)
Lineage: Eukaryota; Metazoa; Chordata; Actinopteri; Pomacentridae
Exons: 3
Source: RefSeq, a predicted model, not a curated record
UUACUGACAGGUGACGGUGCGUUUACUGACAGGUGACGGUGCAUUCACUGACAGGUGACGGUGCAUUCACUGACAGGUGAAGGUGUGUUUACUGACAGGUGACGGUGCAUUCACUGACAGGUGACGGUGCAUUCACUGACAGGUGACGGUGCGUUUACUGACAGGUGACGGUGCGUUUACUGACAGGUGACGGUGCAUUCACUGACAGGUGACGGUGUGUUUACUGACAGGUGACGGUGCAUUCACUGACAGGUGACGGUGCAUUCACUGACAGGUGACGGUGUGUUUACUGACAGGUGACGGUGCGUUUACUGACAGGUGACGGUGUGUUUACCGACAGGUGAAGGUGUGUUUACUGACAGGUGACGGUGCAUUCACUGACAGGUGACGGUGCGUUUACUGACAGGUGACGGUGCGUUUACUGACAGGUGACGGUGCAUUCACUGACAGGUGACGGUGUGUUUACUGACAGGUGACGGUGUGUUUACUGACAGGUGACGGUGCAUUCACUGACAGGUGACGGUGUGUUUACUGACAGGUGACGGUGCGUUUACUGACAGGUGACGGUGUGUUUACCGACAGGUGAAGGUGUGUUUACUGACAGGUGACGGUGCAUUCACUGACAGGUGACGGUGUGUUUACUGACAGGUGACGGUGCGUUUACUGACAGGUGAAGGUGUGUUUACUGACAGGUGACGGUGCAUUCACUGACAGGUGACGGUGUGUUUACUGACAGGUGACGGUGCAUUCACUGACAGGUGACGGUGUGUUUACUGACAGGUGACGGUGCAUUCACUGACAGGUGACGGUGCAUUCACUGACAGGUGACGGUGCGUUUACUGACAGGUGACGGUGUGUUUACUGACAGGUGACGGUGCAUUCACUGACAGGUGACGGUGUGUUUACUGACAGGUGACGGUGUGUUUACCGACAGGUGAAGGUGUGUUUACUGACAGGUGACGGUGCAUUCACUGACAGGUGACGGUGUGUUUACUGACAGGUGACGGUGCGUUUACUGACAGGUGAAGGUGUGUUUACUGACAGGUGACGGUGCAUUCACUGACAGGUGACGGUGUGUUUACUGACAGGUGACGGUGCAUUCACUGACAGGUGACGGUGCAUUCACUGACAGGUGACGGUGCGUUUACUGACAGGUGACGGUGCGUUUACUGACAGGUGACGGUGCAUUCACUGACAGGUGACGGUGUGUUUACUGACAGGUGACGGUGUGUUUACUGACAGGUGACGGUGCAUUCACUGACAGGUGACGGUGUGUUUACUGACAGGUGACGGUGCAUUCACUGACAGGUGACGGUGUGUUUACUGACAGGUGACGGUGCGUUUACUGACAGGUGACGGUGUGUUUACCGACAGGUGAAGGUGUGUUUACUGACAGGUGACGGUGCAUUCACUGACAGGUGACGGUGUGUUUACUGACAGGUGACGGUGCGUUUACUGACAGGUGAAGGUGUGUUUACUGACAGGUGACGGUGCAUUCACUGACAGGUGACGGUGUGUUUACUGACAGGUGACGGUGCAUUCACUGACAGGUGACGGUGUGUUUACUGACAGGUGACGGUGCGUUCACCGACAGGUGACGGUGCGUUCACUGACAGGUGAAGGUGUGUUUACUGACAGGUGACGGUGCAUUCACUGACAGGUGAAGGUGUGUUUACUGACAGGUGACGGUGCAUUCACUGACAGGUGACGGUGUGUUUACCGACAGGUGACGGUGCGUUCACUGACUGACAGGUAACGGUGCGUUCACCUACAGGUGAAGGUGUGUUUACUGACAGGUGACGGUGCAUUCACUGACAGGUGAAGGUGUGUUCACUGACAGUUGACGGUGCGUUUACUGACAGUUGACGGUGCGUUUACUGACAGGUGACGGUGUGUUCACUGACUGACAGGUAACGGUGCGUUCACCUACAGGUGAAGGUGUGUUUACUGACAGGUGACGGUGCAUUCACUGACAGGUGAAGGUGUGUUCACUGACAGUUGACGGUGCGUUUACUGACAGUUGACGGUGCGUUUACCUACAGGUGACGGUGCGUUUACUGACAGGUGACGGUGCAUUCACUGACAGGUGAAGGUGUGUUCACUGACAGUUGACGGUGCGUUUACUGACAGUUGACGGUGCGUUUACUGACAGGUGACGGUGUGUUCACUGACUGACAGGUAACGGUGCGUUCACCUACAGGUGAAGGUGUGUUUACUGACAGGUGACGGUGCAUUCACUGACAGGUGAAGGUGUGUUCACUGACAGUUGACGGUGCGUUUACUGACAGUUGACGGUGCGUUUACCUACAGGUGACGGUGCGUUUACUGACAGGUGACGGUGUGUUCACUGACUGACAGGUAACGGUGCGUUCACUGACAGGUGACGGUGUGUUCACCGACAGGUGACGGUGCGUUCACCGACAGGUGACGGUGCGUUCACCGACAGGUGACGGUGCGUUUACUGACAGGUGAUUCUCUUCAGACCAGCUCAGCAGCAGGUCAGGGAUCAGUUAGCAGCAGACAAUUACAGCAGCAAAGUCUGCUGGGUAAAUAUUUAGAUAGAGGACUAAGAAUAGAGCAGAGUCUGUCUGAGCAGCAGAGGAACUUUCAGGCUCUGAGCUUCGGUGGAAACAGAAUCUGAACGUUUACGUGAGCAGAUUGUCUUCAUGUUCUGAUGUUUGUUGGUCUAGAAGCAGCUGGAGUCUGGAGGUUUAAUGAGUUUAGAUCAACAAUCUUUAAUAAGGUCUGGUUCAUGUUGACAGACUUUAUUAGAGGAAACAUCACAUGAACACCAGAACUAACCAGUAAAUGAUUUUUAUGAAGCCUUUAUGAAGAGACACUACAGGUGAGAAACGAUAACAAUAAAAUUAAAUCGGUUUGUUUGUUUGACUUUAGAGCUCUUAAAUAAAUCCUUACAGCUGCCUGGUUUUUACUGCAAAUAAGUUCAUCUUCAUUAAAUCAUAAGCAAACUUUUAUCCACAAAAAAAAAAAAAAACAAGUUCGGACUCUGUGAGUCUAGACUAUGAUCAGUUUGAUUCUGCUGUCAGUUAGUACUGCUGGUUUAAUAUCAGCUUUAGUUCAGACAGACUCAGGAUUUCUACAGACCUGUUGGGACGUUUAUCAAACACUGAGACCCUUUCAGAGCUCUGAGACACUCAGAGGACCUGAGGACCUUUAGGAGGGUUGGGGUUUGAUUCUGACAUGAAGACGUUUGUUUGACGCUUCAGUCGUGCUGCUGGAGGUUCUCAGUGCUGAUGUUAAACUCAGGAAUCAGAUUACAGCCGUGUGAAGUCGUCUGGAUGAAUCCUCGGUUCCAUGAGGAGGUCUGAGAUGAAUCAGUGAAAACUAAAAGUGUUUCUAUUCCUCUGUGAAGCUCUAUAGGUUUCAGGAUGAGUUCAUGUUUCUGUGUUUUUAUCCUUCAGUCUGAUCUGUUUUCACUUUUACAUUUAAAUGACUUUAAUCUUACCUGGAACCUGAUUCACUGAGAUGCAGCCGGCAGGAAACGUUCCUCCAACGUUAGAUAACGUCACCCACAAAUCUAAAUAAAGUUCUACACUAAUGUUCAAAGAACGUCAGAGAUAUUUCCCUCCUCAUAUAAAA